GUGCUCCGAAUUGGCACUUCUAUCUCGGUGGGUUCUGGGUCCUCGACCCUGUUUUGGUUCGACCGCUGGCUUGGGGAUCCUCUGGCCACCCGCUUCCCGGGCUUAUUUGCCAUUGCGGCUGACCCCAGGAUUUCCGUCGAGACGGCCCUUAUUGACUUAGGGCGCCUCGCCUUUCGGCGCACCUUUGGCCCUCAGGAGGUUGACGCAUGGGACGCCCUUCUACAGGACAUCGCUCUCUUGCCGAUGGAUGUAGAGGGCGCCGAUGACUCCAUGGCGUGGCGCCUGGAGCCCUCGGGAUGCUUCUCCACGAAGUCCUUGUACGCUGCCAUCGCCCCUUCGCCGGCCCCUGAGCCCUUUAGCCUGAUCUGGGACAUCCGACUCCCCCUCAAGAUCCGGAUAUUCCUCUGGCAGUGGAUCCGGGGACGUCUCCCCUCUGGGGUUGAAGUCCGCAAGCGUAAUGGACCUGGGGACGGGAUGUGUCCCCUGUGCGCCACAGUUGAGGACUCGAACCAUAUUUUCUUCAACUGCUCCACUGCCCAGUUCCUGUGGUCGUGCUUCCGUGAAACGGUCGGUGGACAAUGGUGCAAUACCAACUUCCCCGACCUACUCGCGGAGAUCCAUGCCUCCUCCCCACGUUACCGCCAUAUUAGAUGA
This 654-nucleotide ribosomal RNA is filed under the name Triticum aestivum (bread wheat). RNAcentral's name for it is "partial small subunit ribosomal RNA". Lineage: Eukaryota; Viridiplantae; Streptophyta; Magnoliopsida; Poales; Poaceae. The record is from RNAcentral.